AACAUCUGGAGGGCCCCCAGAUGUUCCAACUGGCAGUAGAUCACCAUGGUCUCAAGCAGAGGUUUCCCCCCAGCUCUGCUUCUGACAAGCUGCACACCUCUGAUGAUUCUCUGUGUUAGCCAAAUCAUGCUCAACCAAAAUAAGGAAUUGUUCUCUUUCACACCUGCCCCUGUCAUUUUAGCACUUUUAAGACCUUCUGCAUGGAAGGCAUAUGCAACACCACUGAGUUCUGACAUUACACCCAUAAGAGUCAGUCUAUACCCAGUAGAUUAUUAAUUACCUGUCAGAGGUCUGGGUGGAAUAGGCUUGAGUUAUUUGAUACCGAUUUCCUUCCAUGGGGUUGGGAAUGACAAAGCCAUUUUAAACACUGCUGCUUUUAUGAGGCAAGAAUGUGAUGUUCUGAGCAAACAUUAAUGAACAGGUAGAGGACCUCAAGUACCAACAGCUGAGAUGGAUGGUCGCUAUUGAAAUAUGGAAGUGUUGGUCUACGUCUGUCUCCAUUGCUUCUUCCUAUAUCAGUCAGAAAUGCUUCUGAGCUGCUUCAGCAUUCAGUUUAAUUAAAAAACAACAACCAAACUUCAGCUCCCCGGAGGUGUUUUCAUCAGUGCCUAGUCACACAACAUUUGGCUGUAGUGUUGACCACCCCCCACCCCCCCACCCCCAGUUCCCUAACAGCUUGGUUGUUUUGUGUUUUCUGUGCUGAGAUGCUGUUGUUUUCCUGACAUGGAGGGCAAAGAACUAAAGUCAGGCAAGCUUAGCUCACUGUUUGGUUCUCGGUUGCUGGAGCGGCACUGGCAACAAACAAUUCUCUUUUUCAUCCUGUAGGAAGGACUUCUUGCAGCUCACACUUGAAAACAGUUGAAAGAGAAAAUGCGCCCACUUCUGAGCGCAAAGUGCUCAGAAAUUGUUGUUGUGCUAGUACCUGGUUUGCAUGAAUUCGGUUUCCGCGUAAGACAGUGUUGUUUGCACAAUACACUUCCUUGGCAAUUGGACCAAUUUCGUAUGGGUUCCAUCCGUGCCAUCAAUGCGCGUUUACUCAGAAAUAAGCCUCACUGUGCUCCAGGAAGCUCUCUGCCAACUCAGUGUGCAUAUAAUUGCAGCUCCUAAACUGCUUAGAAACCAUUUUGGCAAGUAAGCAGCAUAUAAUUGUAGUAGUAAUAGUAGCAGCAGAAGCAAUAUAGAAUGCUGUAAAGGGUAAACCUACAUGUUACCUUAAAUGUAUAACCAGUUCCACCACAUUUAUCAACCCUGCAUCCCAGUAGCAUUCAUACAAUCAUAAUGGCUACAAUCCUGGAGGAGGGUAAACCAUAAUUUCCUGUCAGUUGCAUAUCCCCCCUGUCUUUCAUAAUUAUUUCAUUCAUAUUUAGUUACUUUGGAAGUGAUUCAUUCCUUUUUAGGAACCCCCCCCCCCCGGAAAUCAGUGGAGUUUUUUUCAGCAGGAGACCCACCCUGCCUUCUAUAAUGUUGGCAUUUCAAAUAUGAAUGACACGGGUUCUAGACAGUAGGGGCACCAUACUUUUCAAAUAUAAGGAAGAUUGGUAAUGGCAUCUCCACCAAAAAGUAAUUAAAAUGGGGUGAUAAAACCAGGGGCGUCUUACCCAUAGAGGCUAGUGGUGCAGGACGCCGGGGGCCAAGUUCUGGAGGGCGCCAGGGAAGAGGCAGAGGCUGGAUGUAGCGCCUUCCGGCAUCAGCUCGCCGCCCUCACCUGCCUCCGCCAUGCCCUCGCUGGAGCCUCCGUCUGCCGUGGCCACCGUGGCAUAAAGCGGCCAACUGAGCUGGAAGGCACCGCAACCAGCCGCUGCCUCUUCCCCACCGGAGGAGCCGCCCUCCAGCUUCUGCCCACCUCCUCCAGCCCCGCCAGCAGCUCUGUCCUCCCUAAAAAAACUCUGGGAAAUGGGGGGGGGGGGACGCCAGAAGGAGCUUUGCACCACAGUGCCGGAUAUGCUUAAGACGGCCCUGGAUAUAACUUCACAUUACAUUCAGUGGCAAAUGAAGCUGAAUUUGCCACCUGUAUUUCUGGUGUUCCGCACCCACACAGCAAGACAUUUGUACGUGUUGCAAUUUAAUGGAUGCUCCACAAGAGCAUCACAUUUUCUAAGUUUCAAAAAGAUUGGGCAAAAGGGUGCCGAGAGAAAAUAAUAAUAAUAAUGCCAUUUGAAUUUAUCUGAACUGAGCUUCUGGGUCAAAGUUUCAAUGGUUUAAUUAGUCUGCUUAUAAUAUUUCAAACUAUGAAAUUCAAGCAAAAAUAAUUCCAAAUUAAAAUAAAUACAAAAAAGUAAUAAAAAAAGAAUAAGUUUUUAACUUGGUUAAUUCAGUUAAAUGAGUUAAUUAGUUAAUUCAGAUGAAUUUAAAUUCACAUUUAAGAAACCUGAAUUAAGAAAUAUUAAUGUGUCACUUUCAUAUUGCACUUUGGGUUAAGAGAAUGUGCAUCCCUAGUGGAAACUGUGUAUUAAAUAAAAGUAGAACACAGCUAGAUUGAGCUCUGUGUGGAAAACAAUGGGUUAGCCCUUUGAAACCAAUAGAUUUACGUUCACUGAUUUCAGUGGAUCGACUGUUCUCAUGACUUAUUUUUUUAAUUAUACACAUUUUUACCGCUUAAUAUAAAAAUAUCUAAGCAGUUUACAGAAAAGCAACAAAAAGAGUAACAUAUCCUUUAAAAUAAUUAAAAACAGAACAAAACAAUAUAUCACAGAUAAAACUGAGCAGCGUACAAAACAAAAUUAAAAAUUAAGAGUCAGAGGCCAUGAAAGCUUGGGUAGAUUUUUUUAAUUAUUUUUAAAAAAUAUUUUAUUAAGGAUUUUCUUGUUUUACAGAAGUGUAGUGCCUCGUAUUUUUUUUUUCAUGUAACAUUUUUACAAAUCCGUUUCAUUUGUUGAGGCAUUAGGGG
Molecule: non-coding RNA, 2887 nt
Organism: Podarcis lilfordi (Lilford's wall lizard)
Lineage: Eukaryota; Metazoa; Chordata; Lepidosauria; Squamata; Lacertidae
Source: the annotation of a GenBank genome assembly